CUCAGAUUGAACGCUGGCGGCAUGCUUUACACAUGCAAGUCGAACGGCAGCACGGGAGCUUGCUCCUGGUGGCGAGUGGCGAACGGGUGAGUAAUGCAUCGGAAUGUACCGUGUAAUGGGGGAUAGCUCGGCGAAAGCCGGAUUAAUACCGCAUACGCCCUGAGGGGGAAAGCGGGGGACCGAAAGGCCUCGCGUUAUACGAGCAGCCGAUGUCUGAUUAGCUAGUUGGUGAGGUAAGAGCUCACCAAGGCGACGAUCAGUAGCGGGUCUGAGAGGAUGAUCCGCCACACUGGGACUGAGACACGGCCCAGACUCCUACGGGAGGCAGCAGUGGGGAAUUUUGGACAAUGGGCGCAAGCCUGAUCCAGCCAUGCCGCGUGUCUGAAGAAGGCCUUCGGGUUGUAAAGGACUUUUGUUCGGGAGGAAAUCCCGCUGGUUAAUACCUGGCGGGGAUGACAGUACCGGAAGAAUAAGCACCGGCUAACUACGUGCCAGCAGCCGCGGUAAUACGUAGGGUGCAAGCGUUAAUCGGAAUUACUGGGCGUAAAGCGUGCGCAGGCGGUUGUGCAAGUCUGAUGUGAAAGCCCCGGGCUCAACCUGGGAACGGCAUUGGAGACUGCACGACUAGAGUGCGUCAGAGGGGGGUAGAAUUCCGCGUGUAGCAGUGAAAUGCGUAGAGAUGCGGAGGAAUACCGAUGGCGAAGGCAGCCCC
Molecule: ribosomal RNA, 712 nt
Filed under: Chromobacterium violaceum
Lineage: Bacteria; Pseudomonadati; Pseudomonadota; Betaproteobacteria; Neisseriales; Chromobacteriaceae
Description: bacterial SSU rRNA
Rfam family: Bacterial small subunit ribosomal RNA
Source: RNAcentral